Molecule: ribosomal RNA, 361 nt
Filed under: Ensifer meliloti
Lineage: Bacteria; Pseudomonadati; Pseudomonadota; Alphaproteobacteria; Hyphomicrobiales; Rhizobiaceae
Description: Sinorhizobium meliloti bacterial SSU rRNA
Rfam family: Bacterial small subunit ribosomal RNA
Source: RNAcentral
UUGGGCAGUGGAGACAUUGUCCUUCAGUUAGGCUGGCCCCAGAACAGGUGCUGCAUGGCUGUCGUCAGCUCGUGUCGUGAGAUGUUGGGUUAAGUCCCGCAACGAGCGCAACCCUCGCCCUUAGUUGCCAGCAUUUAGUUGGGCACUCUAAGGGGACUGCCGGUGAUAAGCCGAGAGGAAGGUGGGGAUGACGUCAAGUCCUCAUGGCCCUUACGGGCUGGGCUACACACGUGCUACAAUGGUGGUGACAGUGGGCAGCGAGACAGCGAUGUCGAGCUAAUCUCCAAAAGCCAUCUCAGUUCGGAUUGCACUCUGCAACUCGAGUGCAUGAAGUUGGAAUCGCUAGUAAUCGCAGAUCAGC